CUGGCUCAGGAUGAACGCUAGCGGCAGGCCUAAUACAUGCAAGUCGAACGCUCAGUAGCAAUACUGGGAGUGGCGCACGGGUGCGUAACGCGUACACAAUCUACCUCUAAGCGGGGGACACCUCCUGGAAACGGGGAUUAAUACCGCAUAAUAUGCCGAGGUCGCAUGACUUUGGUAUUAAAGCAGCAAUGCACUUAGAGAUGAGUGUGCGUCCCAUUAGGUAGUUGGUGAGGUAACGGCUCACCAAGCCUAUGAUGGGUAGCCGGUCUGAGAGGAUGGUCGGCCACACGGGCACUGAGACACGGGCCCGACUCCUACGGGAGGCAGCAGUAAGGAAUAUUGGUCAAUGGUGGAAACACUGAACCAGCCAUGCCGCGUGGAGGAAUAAGGUCCUACGGAUUGUAAACUCCUUUUGACGAGGAAGAAAGUGUUAGAUUUAUCUAAUUUUGACGGUACUCGUAGAAUAAGCACCGGCUAACUCCGUG
Molecule: ribosomal RNA, 485 nt
Filed under: uncultured bacterium
Lineage: Bacteria
Description: bacterial SSU rRNA
Rfam family: Bacterial small subunit ribosomal RNA
Source: RNAcentral